GAUCUUGGUCAGGACGAACGCUGGCGGCGUGCCUAAUACAUGCAAGUCGAGCGGACCGACGGGAGCUUGCUCCCUUAGGUCAGCGGCGGACGGGUGAGUAACACGUGGGUAACCUGCCUGUAAGACUGGGAUAACUCCGGGAAACCGGGGCUAAUACCGGAUGCUUGAUUGAACCGCAUGGUUCAAUUAUAAAAGGUGGCUUUUAGCUACCACUUACAGAUGGACCCGCGGCGCAUUAGCUAGUUGGUGAGGUAACGGCUCACCAAGGCGACGAUGCGUAGCCGACCUGAGAGGGUGAUCGGCCACACUGGGACUGAGACACGGCCCAGACUCCUACGGGAGGCAGCAGUAGGGAAUCUUCCGCAAUGGACGAAAGUCUGACGGAGCAACGCCCGCGUGAGUGAUGAAGGUUUUCGGAUCGUAAAACUCUGUUGUUAGGGAAGAACAAGUACCGUUCGAAUAGGGCGGUACCUUGACGGUACCUAACCAGAAAGCCACGGCUAACUACGUGCCAGCCGCCGC
Molecule: ribosomal RNA, 522 nt
Filed under: uncultured bacterium
Lineage: Bacteria
Description: bacterial SSU rRNA
Rfam family: Bacterial small subunit ribosomal RNA
Source: RNAcentral